RNAcentral lists this unclassified non-coding RNA (2333 nucleotides) under Anneissia japonica. RNAcentral's name for it is "fibropellin-3-like, transcript variant X2". The record is from RNAcentral. Lineage: Eukaryota; Metazoa; Echinodermata; Crinoidea; Comatulida; Comatulidae.
UCAAUGAUCUUGCUCCAUGUCACUGUGGAAUCAUGAGUUUACCUACCAUGUCGUAUAUUUACAGAGUUGCUUUUGCAAUAAUUAUAGUUUUUGUUGGUAUCGUAAAUUCACAAGUUUGUCAAAACGGAGAGUCCCCAUGUGCAAAUGGAGGAACGUGUAUUGGUGGACAGAUAGGUAGUACAUAUACCUGUCAGUGUACCUUCAGAUGGCAAGGACGAAACUGUAGCAAGGCAAUUCCUCCUCGUCAAAACUGUGGAUACAACCAAUUUGGAGAUACCGGGUCUAUUACAAGUCCUAACUACCCGGAUGUCUAUGAUAAUGAUCAUGAGUGCUAUUACUACGUGCGCGUGCACAAUGCACGUAGAAUUACAUUCUAUGUGCGGUUUUUCGAAACCGAGAUUUACAAAGACUAUAUGGAAUAUGGAAAUGGAUAUUAUUAUAACCAUAGUGACGCGGUUAUUCUGGAGGGUAAUUUCACAAAUACGCAAUUUACUAUCGAAGGAGGCAACGCCUGGUUCUAUUUUUACAGUGACUUCAAUGUAAGGCGGAAAGGUUACAACAUUGUCUAUGAAGCAGAAACUGUGAACUGUGAUAGUAUGCCGUGUGAGAACGGUGGAAUAUGCAUCACACUCGACUACGAUUUCACAUGCGAGUGUCUUUUUGGCUUUGAGGGACGAACAUGUGAAAUCGAUAUCAACGAAUGCGAUCCAAAUCCGUGUAAUUCUUGGGAAAUAUGCACCGAGGGUAUCGGCAAAUACACCUGUGCCUGCCCCAAGGGUUUCGUAGGAGAGGGGUGCCGUGACAUCUGUCAAUAUGGAGAGUUUCAAUGUGAAAAUGGAGGACGGUGUAUUGGUGGACAGAUAGGUAGUACAUAUACCUGCCAGUGUACCUUCGGAUGGGAAGGAAGAAACUGUAGUGAAUUAAUUCCUCGUCGUCAAAACUGUGGAUACAACCAAUUUGGAGAUACCGGUUCUAUUACAAGUCCCAACUACCCGGAUGUCUAUGAUAAUGACCAUGAGUGCUAUUACUACGUGCGCGUGCACAAUGCACGACGAAUUACAUUCUAUGUGCAGUUUUUCGAAACCGAGAUUUACAAAGACUAUAUGGAGUAUGGAAAUGGAUAUUAUUAUAACCCUAGUGACGCGGUUAUUCUGGAGGGUAAUUUCACAAAUACGCAAUUUACUAUCGAAGGAGGCAACGCCUGGUUCUAUUUUUACAGUGACUUCAAUGUAAGGCGGAAAGGUUACCACAUUGUCUAUGAAGCAGAAACUGUGAACUGUGAUAGUAUGCCGUGUGAGAACGGUGGAAAAUGCAUCACACUCGACUACGAUUUCACGUGCGAGUGUCUUUUUGGCUUUGAGGGACGAACAUGUGAAAUCGAUAUCAACGAAUGCGAUCCAAAGUGUAAUUCUGGGGAAUUAUGCACCAACGGCACCUGUACCUGCCCGAAUGGUUUCUUUGGAGAGGAGUGUCGUGACACUUGUAUCCAGGAUUGCUCGAAUAGACUGAGAAUGAAAUGUGGAAGCGAUGGGAAAACCUAUCGAAACAGGUGUUAUUUGAUGAACGCCAAAUGUCUGGAUCCAAGCAUCAAAAUGGUGUCUAGAACAGCGUGCAACACAGGAGGAACAAUUGAGGUCGUAGGCGGCGACCGUAUUUGUUUUCAGGCGGAAGAUGACAGCAGUAUGGAAAGUUUGGAGAGGGCUGCGUGUCCUAUUGGUGGCGUUUUACAUAUAAACCUUACUUAAUGGACUCCGAAGGAGACUUACAACUAAUAACAAUUAAAAUCUCAAGACAGACACUGUGUAUAUUUAAAUUGGACCUCAUUGGAAAUAGGCUGGACUCCGGCCUAAUAGGCAUUCCUGAUGCUCAUUACGUGAUGUAGACAAAGAAGCCACAACUAUCAGGAAAGAAUGUCCGGACUCAAUCGUAAAAGGGCAACAGAACUUACUAAUUAUUCAUAGAUAGCCAAUAAUUUGUCUCCCAUCAAGCUUCCUGAAAAAAAUUCUGUAUAUGAAAUUAAUUAAAGUAUAGUGUAAAUCUUAUUUUUUAAAUGUUUUCCUCUGUAAUAAUCUAAAAAAUUAUGUUAACAACAUGUAGUAAUUCUUGUAGGCUUUAUGUUUAUUAAUAUUGUAUUAUUACUGCUAAUGUUUAUCUUAUAAAUAGAGAAAGUAACCAGUUUGUUGUAAAGAAUAUAGACAUGUAAUAUAAUAAGAUAUAACAUUUUGAGGAUUAUUAAUUUUUGCCGGAUGUACAUGAUAUAGGCCUACAGUAUAUAGAUAUAAAAUGUAUAUAUGUAUAUAUCACAACUUGGUUUCAAUGCUUGAAAAUAAAUA